CAUUUUCUAGAGGGACGGCUUUAGGCGGAACACAACAGUAUCGUACCACAUGCAUCUGCAAGUUUUUUUCUAUUCAGAAGUUGUAAGAAAUUCCGCACGAAUAUUAUAGUUCAAGCACAAAGAAGGAAAUAAAGAGAUAUCAGCAAAUCCCGGGAGGAACCACUGGUGCAGCCAAUGAUGAACAUAUACACAAGAACUCUGAUGGGGGACCGGAGGAGGAGCUUCAAGGCGGCCUGGUACCAUAUCCACCCCUGGCUUGAAUAUUCCAAAAAAUCAGACUCUGUGUUUUGUUACGCCUGCAGGCAUUUCAGCCCUCCCAAAGUCUCAGAGACUGUAUUUGAUUCACAAUUGGGUUUUAACAACUGGAAGAAGGCAACUUACAAAGAGUGGGGAUUUGCAGUUCAUGCCAGGUCUGAGCGGCACAAACAAGCAAUGAUUACAUGGAGAGAAUAUCAGAAAGCUGUAAAAAGUAAUGCAACACUGGUAAAUGCCCUAAACAAGGAACACAACAAACAGGUUCAAGAAAAUCGGGACUAUAUUAAAACAAUAGAAGUACUACUACUUACAGCCACACAAAACAUUGCACAAAGAGGACACAAUGAGUCUGCAGAGUCAGAUAAUAAAGGUAACUUCAUGGCAAUCCUAGAAACAAUAGCUAAGCAUGACACAACUGUGAAAAAAAGGUUGACUUCCAUUCAUAAUGCAAAAUGUACAAGCAAAGGGAUUCAGAAUGAGGUUCUGAGUUGUUUGGCAGACAUGGUUCCAACAAAAAUGAUAUAAGAAGUGAAAGACAGUGAGGUCUUUAGCAUAAUGGCAGACAAAACAAAAGAUGUAAAAAAUAAAGGAGCAGAUAUCUCUGGUACUACUUCAGAGGAGCUGUCCAUGAGAGCUUUCUCCACUUUGAAUCGGCUGAUCGACUAGAUGCAGCAGGGCUUACUGACAAAAUCAUACACAUAUUAGAAAGUCAUGGUCUUGAAUACAAAAACAACCUAGUAGGCCAAGCAUAUGACGGUGCUUCCGUUAUGAGUGGCAAGCAUUCAGGCGUCCAGGCAGGCAUUAAAGAACAAGCAAAGCAUGCCUUUUACAUCCACUGCAGUGCACACUGUCUAAACUUAGUUUUAGUGGAUACAGUCAAAGCUGUCCCUGAGGUAGGACAGUUCUUCUCCUUACUAGAAAGACUUUACGUCUUCACAUCUGGGUCAUAUGUGCAUCAAAAAUGGCUUAGCAUACAAAAAGAGAUGUACCCAGGUGCACCUAGAGAGCUUCAGAGACUAAGUGACACUCGCUGGGCAUGUCGAUAGAUGGCUCUACAUACUAUUAUGGAUAGAUUACCUGCCAUUAAGCGAGUCCUGCAAGACAUAGUCCAAGAACACAAUGGUGACAGAUCUGUUGAGGCACGAGGUCUGUUGAGGCACGAGGUCUGCUUGCACAGAUAGAUUUACAAUUCAUUGUGUGCCUUGUUACACUCCAUACAGUGUUUGGAGAAGCAACAUUUCUAUAAGAUAUGUUACAGUCUUCAUCACUUGACCUGUCAAAGGCUGUUGAUUUAGUUGAAGCCUUAGUUCAAACUUUGAAUGACUACAGGGAUGAGUCAUUUUUUGAUGACCUAUGGAAUGAAGUGUUGAACACAGCUGAGCAAUGUGAUACUGCAAUACACCCCCCUGCAAAACGACCAAAAAAGCUAAGCUCUCAAUUUAAUGGAGACGGUGUACUCAGUACAGUGGGUCAGA
Molecule: non-coding RNA, 1730 nt
Organism: Salmo salar (Atlantic salmon)
Lineage: Eukaryota; Metazoa; Chordata; Actinopteri; Salmoniformes; Salmonidae
Source: RefSeq, a predicted model, not a curated record